ACAGGGCUCUUGUGACCUGGCAGGCAGCUUUCUGGGAGUUGAGGCCUUCGGGGGCGUUCAGGCGCCAGCACCCCCACGUCCAACAGGGGUUGAGCUUACACCCCACUUCCCUUUGUUGCUCAGGUUUCCUAUCCUAGGACACUCGGGCCUGGCGUGCCUGGAAGAGUACUUGGUGACGGGCUGGAGGAAAUGCAAGAGAAGAGGGCUUGCACAUUCUCUUCGGGCUCACUAUUUCCUCCUUUGGUGACAGCCUGUUAAAACCUGGGGGAAAGGAGACUGACAAAGGGCCGUCCAGGCACAUGUAGAAACAUCUGACUACGAAAUCCAUGAGUGUAAUCUGAGAAGUGAUGCUUCUGCCAGUUAUUGAUUUAUUGCCUCUCAGCUCCAAAUUCGCCCUUUUUGACUGCACUGUAAAAACGGAUCUGAGCCUUUUAAACAGUUUUUCGUUUGCCUUCUGGGACUGAAGCUUUAUCAGCAGAGGGCGCUGAAGAGACAUUACAGAAAAAAAGGAUUUUGCUUCCUGAUUUCUGUGUAUUGAUAAGCUUUUGCAGCAUACCUGGCUUUCUCCACUGCCAAGGUCCUAUAGUGCUCAGUAACUAGCAAUUUCCUCUCACAUGCCCAACUCUAGGAGCUUUGUAGAGGAGGUGAGACACUACCCCAUGAAUAACUUCCCUGGCACCCUAGAGGCAUUUGCAGCAAGUUGCAGAGGGCACAUCUUCCACAAGCUUUGCAGACGUAGCCCAAUGGUGACUUCUCUGCCAUUCAGUGAGCCAGGUCAUGCCCUCUCCAAAAACGUCUAGAUCUUAGCCCUGGGAGGAAUUGGGGAGGUUCUUCAUUGGGCACUCUGUCUCUCAACCCAAGAGUUAGUUAUAAGGUUAGCUCCUUAUAGCUGCUGUUGCUAUAUUCUUUAAAGUUCUCUUCUUGCUAGUGAAUCCUUCAUUACUCUAAUCCUCUAUUAUAGUUAACAAUUCUUUUUAUUAAGCCUUCCCUGUCCCGGGAGUAGUCCCAAGAAAUAGACCUGCAAAGAUGGGAUUAAAGGUCAGUUUGAUUGAGGUUUUGAGCUUUAGCUCCUUGCCAAAGGGAAAUGUAAUUCAUGACAUGCUGGGCAUCUCAAUUAAGCAAUUACCUGUGGUUGAUCCUGAUGAAGUGCCAACUGAAGCCUGUGCCUUGGGGCCCCAAGUGGCUGCUACACUUGACUGCUAUGGUUAUAAAGAUGACUAGAAAGACUGGUGUGGGAUGGAUUCUUUUGCGUGCUUUUGAGUGGUUAUAAAGAGAAAUGACAAGCACAGGUUUUUUAACUCUCAGAGUUAUGGUAUGAGAACCAGAGAUAUUCUGCAGAAUUCCAAAAGCUCUGGUUUAUUGUAGCAACAAGAAUUAUGCUGAGAAUCAAACAAAAUUUUAAUUUUCAUGUUACUGAAUUAUAACUGCUAUUAAAUUCACACAUAUUCUG
RNAcentral lists this long non-coding RNA (1450 nucleotides) under Homo sapiens (human). RNAcentral's name for it is "non-protein coding lnc-PJA2-3:2". The record is from RNAcentral. Lineage: Eukaryota; Metazoa; Chordata; Mammalia; Primates; Hominidae.